This 532-nucleotide ribosomal RNA is filed under the name Lactobacillus johnsonii. Its description in RNAcentral is "bacterial SSU rRNA". It matches the Rfam family "Bacterial small subunit ribosomal RNA", at positions 417 to 935 of the family's 1533-position model. The record is from RNAcentral. Lineage: Bacteria; Bacillati; Bacillota; Bacilli; Lactobacillales; Lactobacillaceae.
UUCGGCUCGUAAAGCUCUGUUGGGUAGUGAAGAAAGAUAGAGGUAGUAACUGGCCUUUAUUUGACGGGUAAUUUACUUAGAAAGUCACGGCUAACUACGUGCCAGCAGCCGCGGUAAUACGUAGGUGGCAAGCGUUGUCCGGAUUUAUUGGGCGUAAAGCGAGUGCAGGCGGUUCAAUAAGUCUGAUGUGAAAGCCUUCGGCUCAACCGGAGAAUUGCAUCAGAAACUGUUGAACUUGAGUGCAGAAGAGGAGAGUGGAACUCCAUGUGUAGCGGUGGAAUGCGUAGAUAUAUGGAAGAACACCAGUGGCGAAGGCGGCUCUCUGGUCUGCAACUGACGCUGAGGCUCGAAAGCAUGGGUAGCGAACAGGAUUAGAUACCCUGGUAGUCCAUGCCGUAAACGAUGAGUGCUAAGUGGUUGGGGAGGUUUCCGCCUCUCAGUGCUGCAGCUAACGCAUUAAGCACUCCGCCUGGGGAGUACGACCGCAAGGUUGAAACUCAAAGGAAUUGACGGGGGCCCGCACAAGCGGUGG